Molecule: ribosomal RNA, 379 nt
Filed under: uncultured cyanobacterium
Lineage: Bacteria; Bacillati; Cyanobacteriota
Description: bacterial SSU rRNA
Rfam family: Bacterial small subunit ribosomal RNA
Source: RNAcentral
CGAAAGCCUGACGGAGCAACGCCGCGUGGGGGAAGAAGGUUCUUGGAUUGUAAACCCCUUUUCUCAGGGAAGAAGUCCUGACGGUACCUGAGGAAUCAGCCUCGGCUAACUCCGUGCCAGCAGCCGCGGUAAUACGGAGGAGGCAAGCGUUAUCCGGAAUCAUUGGGCGUAAAGCGUUCGUAGGCGGCUGUUCAAGUCUGCUGUCAAAGACCGAGGCUCAACCUCGGGUCGGCAGUGUAAACUGGAUAGCUAGAGGUCGGUAGGGGCAAAGGGAAUUCCCAGUGUAGCGGUGAAAUGCGUAGAUAUUGGGAAGAACACCGGUGGCGAAAGCGUUCUGCUGGGCCGCACCUGACCCUGAGGGACGAAAGCCAGGGGAGCG